UACACUACACCCCUUGGAAAAUAGUGAAGGUUAGCUUAGGUUAGCUUAGGUUAAGGUGUGGUGCAAAAAAGGUUAGGUUAGGUUUCGUUAGGUUAGAUAAGGUUAGGUUAGUUAAGGUGUGGUGCGGCAGUGUUUCAGCAUGUGGGCCUAACAUUCAACAGCCGUCCUGCGCCCCCAGAGCCAGGUCACGUAAGACUGGUGCAGCAGAUGGCCAGCUCAAGGACACAGAGUCAGGUUGGCCAAAAUUUAUAGACGACAGAAGAUUGGCGCUACUAUAAGAGCAUCGCUAUUAUAGUAUCAAAGAGUUUUAAUAUAUAUUCUAACUCCUGUUUAUGUAUGUUGAACUCCUUAUUGAGAUUUUUGACAGGUGGUCUUAUAUCAAUGUGGCUUACUGCGGGCUCAUGAGGAUUUAUAGAUCUUCGCGGCCCUAUGAACAACAACAAUGACCCUUACUGCUGUGGGCACUGUGCGGUCCGGCACAGACAGGAGCUGGUCCGGGGCUGGUGACCGCAGUGACCUUUGUGACCGUGUAAACUCUGGGGCUGGUUCUUGCGAGCAGGUUGGGGCGGUGGCUGGACGGGGCCGGCAUUAGCUGGGGCAGAGGGCUCGCUACGUCCCGCUGUCGCUCCAAGGCAGUGACCCUCACACACAAGUCCUUGACCUCGCCCCGGAUUUCCAGCAAGAGCUGAACCACGUCCUGGAGGGUCGAAGGCACGCCAGCCUGCGAUGCGGGGACUGCACGCUCAGCCCCCUACUGCAGCAGUAUAGUAAGGGGCAGUCCUGGGUGGCACAGGGUCAGGUGGCCGUGAGGCAGGCGUGAUGAGAGAAUAAAGCAUUUCUAAGCAAGAUUUGAAGAUAUAAGAGCAUUUUUUUGGGUGUUUUUACGGUUCUCAAGGCAGAGUGACAUGAUUUCUACAUUGCUAACAGGAGAAACACUUUUGAAAACCUUCCAAUCAUCUCUGAGGCCUUGGAAAACAGUCGUGGAGAGAGAAUAAAGCUUUUUGCAAUGUGGGCGUAAUUCUGCCUUCAAAAGUACGCCUAGGGGUGGGUUGGACGUAAAAUUCACACGAAAAACUAGGAUAUUGUUGAAUUUUGUAAGAUUUCAGUACAGUAUGGUGUGUUUAUAUAGAAGUCAAGUAUUAUAUCACUGCCAUUUCUUAAGUAUACUGUUUCAAACUAAUAUAUCUUGUUUGAUGUUUUGUUAUACGUUUUAUCUAGUCAUAUCAUACAACAAAAACGACUAUAAAGUGAUAUGGAGGGACAAAAAUUUUAUUAAAGAGCGAAGAAUUAUGAGAAGAAGUCAUUACGAAAAGAUUGACUCAAAGCGAGAAGGUAAAAUCAAUAAACGACAGAAAUUUAUAGACGACAGAAGAGUGACGGUAUUACAAGAACAUCGCUAUUAUAGUAUCAAGGACUUUUAAUAUAUAUUUUAAUUCCUAUUUAUAUAUGUUGAACUCCUUUCUCGUGCUGUGGGUGGAGUGGGCGGCGUGUCGGGGCGUGGGCGGCGUUGAAAUAGGCCACAUACUCUCCCUGUCUCCACCACCACCUGACCACCACUCUCUGCGUCUUCCAUGCUGCUCGCUGACAGCAUUCCAUCGUCUGCAAAGAAUAAGUGAGUCACAUUUAAAGUGUCAUCUUUGAAGCACAAAUUUACACUUUCUAAUGUCUUUAUUAUUAUUUUGAAAGUUAUUAACCCCUUCAGUACUGGGACCUAUUUUUACCUUGAGGUUUGUGUACCAUUAGACCAUUUUGAUGACAUUAGGA
Molecule: long non-coding RNA, 1764 nt
Organism: Portunus trituberculatus (swimming crab)
Lineage: Eukaryota; Metazoa; Arthropoda; Malacostraca; Decapoda; Portunidae
Exons: 3
Source: RefSeq, a predicted model, not a curated record